UUAAUUGAAACCAAAUUUGAGGUAUAUUAUUGUUAAUAAUUUCAAUGAAUUAAAUAAUUCCAAUUAAA
RNAcentral lists this transfer RNA (68 nucleotides) under Acropyga silvestrii. Its description in RNAcentral is "tRNA-Asn". Lineage: Eukaryota; Metazoa; Arthropoda; Insecta; Hymenoptera; Formicidae. The record is from RNAcentral.